CUCAAUGGGCGAGAGCCUGAACCAGCCAAGUCGCGUGAAGGAAGAAGGUCCUAUGGAUUGUAAACUUCUUUUGUAAGGGAAU
This 82-nucleotide ribosomal RNA is filed under the name uncultured bacterium. Its description in RNAcentral is "partial 16S ribosomal RNA". The record is from RNAcentral.